CCCCUCGAUGACGAGGAGAUGGUGUCCUACAUCCUAACUGGGCUCGAUUUGGAGUUCAAUUCGGUCGUCUCAGCGAUGUUGGCUCAAGUAGAGCCCAUCAUCGUCACAGGGCUCUACACCUAGCUUCUUGCGUUCGAGU
Molecule: small nucleolar RNA, 139 nt
Filed under: Setaria italica (foxtail millet)
Lineage: Eukaryota; Viridiplantae; Streptophyta; Magnoliopsida; Poales; Poaceae
Also listed under: 1 other name
Description: Small nucleolar RNA Z247
Rfam family: Small nucleolar RNA Z247
About the family: Z247 is a member of the C/D class of snoRNA which contain the C (UGAUGA) and D (CUGA) box motifs.
Source: Rfam by way of RNAcentral